RNAcentral lists this ribosomal RNA (2900 nucleotides) under Klebsiella pneumoniae UCI 56. RNAcentral's name for it is "bacterial LSU rRNA". It matches the Rfam family "Bacterial large subunit ribosomal RNA". The record is from RNAcentral. Lineage: Bacteria; Pseudomonadati; Pseudomonadota; Gammaproteobacteria; Enterobacterales; Enterobacteriaceae.
UUAAGCGACUAAGCGUACACGGUGGAUGCCCUGGCAGUCAGAGGCGAUGAAGGACGUGCUAAUCUGCGAAAAGCGUCGGUAAGGUGAUAUGAACCGUUAUAACCGGCGAUGUCCGAAUGGGGAAACCCAGUGUGAUUCGUCACACUAUCGUUAACUGAAUACAUAGGUUAACGAGGCGAACCGGGGGAACUGAAACAUCUAAGUACCCCGAGGAAAAGAAAUCAACCGAGAUUCCCCCAGUAGCGGCGAGCGAACGGGGAGCAGCCCAGAGUCUGAAUCAGCUUGUGUGUUAGUGGAACGGUCUGGAAAGUCCGACGGUACAGGGUGAUAGUCCCGUACACCAAAAUGCACAGGCUGUGAACUCGAAGAGUAGGGCGGGACACGUGGUAUCCUGUCUGAAUAUGGGGGGACCAUCCUCCAAGGCUAAAUACUCCUGACUGACCGAUAGUGAACCAGUACCGUGAGGGAAAGGCGAAAAGAACCCCGGCGAGGGGAGUGAAAAAGAACCUGAAACCGUGUACGUACAAGCAGUGGGAGCACCUUCGGGUGUGACUGCGUACCUUUUGUAUAAUGGGUCAGCGACUUAUAUUCUGUAGCAAGGUUAACCGUAUAGGGGAGCCGCAGGGAAACCGAGUCUUAACUGGGCGUUAAGUUGCAGGGUAUAGACCCGAAACCCGGUGAUCUAGCCAUGGGCAGGUUGAAGGUUGGGUAACACUAACUGGAGGACCGAACCGACUAAUGUUGAAAAAUUAGCGGAUGACUUGUGGCUGGGGGUGAAAGGCCAAUCAAACCGGGAGAUAGCUGGUUCUCCCCGAAAGCUAUUUAGGUAGCGCCUCGUGAACUCAUCUUCGGGGGUAGAGCACUGUUUCGGCUAGGGGGUCAUCCCGACUUACCAACCCGAUGCAAACUACGAAUACCGAAGAAUGUUAUCACGGGAGACACACGGCGGGUGCUAACGUCCGUCGUGAAGAGGGAAACAACCCAGACCGCCAGCUAAGGUCCCAAAGUCAUGGUUAAGUGGGAAACGAUGUGGGAAGGCACAGACAGCCAGGAUGUUGGCUUAGAAGCAGCCAUCAUUUAAAGAAAGCGUAAUAGCUCACUGGUCGAGUCGGCCUGCGCGGAAGAUGUAACGGGGCUAAACCAUGCACCGAAGCUGCGGCAGCGACACUAUGUGUUGUUGGGUAGGGGAGCGUUCUGUAAGCCUGCGAAGGUGUGCUGUGAGGCAUGCUGGAGGUAUCAGAAGUGCGAAUGCUGACAUAAGUAACGAUAAAGCGGGUGAAAAGCCCGCUCGCCGGAAGACCAAGGGUUCCUGUCCAACGUUAAUCGGGGCAGGGUAAGUCGACCCCUAAGGCGAGGCCGAAAGGCGUAGUCGAUGGGAAACAGGUUAAUAUUCCUGUACUUGGUGUUACUGCGAAGGGGGGACGGAGAAGGCUAUGUUAGCCGGGCGACGGUUGUCCCGGUUUAAGCAUGUAGGCUGGUUAUCCAGGCAAAUCCGGAUAAUCAAGGCUGAGGUGUGAUGACGAGGCACUACGGUGCUGAAGUAACAAAUGCCCUGCUUCCAGGAAAAGCCUCUAAGCAUCAGGUAACAUCAAAUCGUACCCCAAACCGACACAGGUGGUCAGGUAGAGAAUACCAAGGCGCUUGAGAGAACUCGGGUGAAGGAACUAGGCAAAAUGGUGCCGUAACUUCGGGAGAAGGCACGCUGGUGUGUAGGUGAAGUCCCUGCGGAUGGAGCUGAGACCAGUCGAAGAUACCAGCUGGCUGCAACUGUUUAUUAAAAACACAGCACUGUGCAAACACGAAAGUGGACGUAUACGGUGUGACGCCUGCCCGGUGCCGGAAGGUUAAUUGAUGGGGUUAUCCGUAAGGAGAAGCUCUUGAUCGAAGCCCCGGUAAACGGCGGCCGUAACUAUAACGGUCCUAAGGUAGCGAAAUUCCUUGUCGGGUAAGUUCCGACCUGCACGAAUGGCGUAAUGAUGGCCAGGCUGUCUCCACCCGAGACUCAGUGAAAUUGAACUCGCUGUGAAGAUGCAGUGUACCCGCGGCAAGACGGAAAGACCCCGUGAACCUUUACUAUAGCUUGACACUGAACAUUGAGCCUUGAUGUGUAGGAUAGGUGGGAGGCUUUGAAGCGUGGACGCCAGUCUGCGUGGAGCCAACCUUGAAAUACCACCCUUUAAUGUUUGAUGUUCUAACGUUGGCCCCUUACCGGGGUUGCGGACAGUGUCUGGUGGGUAGUUUGACUGGGGCGGUCUCCUCCCAAAGCGUAACGGAGGAGCACGAAGGUUAGCUAAUCCUGGUCGGACAUCAGGAGGUUAGUGCAAUGGCAUAAGCUAGCUUGACUGCGAGCGUGACGGCGCGAGCAGGUGCGAAAGCAGGUCAUAGUGAUCCGGUGGUUCUGAAUGGAAGGGCCAUCGCUCAACGGAUAAAAGGUACUCCGGGGAUAACAGGCUGAUACCGCCCAAGAGUUCAUAUCGACGGCGGUGUUUGGCACCUCGAUGUCGGCUCAUCACAUCCUGGGGCUGAAGUAGGUCCCAAGGGUAUGGCUGUUCGCCAUUUAAAGUGGUACGCGAGCUGGGUUUAGAACGUCGUGAGACAGUUCGGUCCCUAUCUGCCGUGGGCGCUGGAGAAUUGAGGGGGGCUGCUCCUAGUACGAGAGGACCGGAGUGGACGCAUCACUGGUGUUCGGGUUGUCAUGCCAAUGGCACUGCCCGGUAGCUAAAUGCGGAAGAGAUAAGUGCUGAAAGCAUCUAAGCACGAAACUUGCCCCGAGAUGAGUUCUCCCUGAGACUUUAAGUCUCCUGAAGGAACGUUGAAGACGACGACGUUGAUAGGCCGGGUGUGUAAGCGCAGCGAUGCGUUGAGCUAACCGGUACUAAUGAACCGUGAGGCUUAACCUU